RNAcentral lists this ribosomal RNA (429 nucleotides) under Bacteroidota bacterium. Its description in RNAcentral is "Bacteroidetes bacterium partial 16S ribosomal RNA". It matches the Rfam family "Bacterial small subunit ribosomal RNA", at positions 355 to 776 of the family's 1533-position model. The record is from RNAcentral. Lineage: Bacteria; Pseudomonadati; Bacteroidota.
UAGGGAAUCUUCCGCAAUGGACGCAAGUCUGACGGAGCAACGCCGCGUGAGUGAAGAAGGAGUUCGGUUCGUAAAACUCUGUUGUUAGAGAAGAACAGCGCAUAGAGUAACUGUUAUGCGUGUGACGGUAUCUAACCAGAAAGCCACGGCUAACUACGUGCCAGCAGCCGCGGUAAUACGUAGGUGGCAAGCGUUGUCCGGAUUUAUUGGGCGUAAAGCGAGCGCAGGCGGUCAAUUAAGUCUGAUGUGAAAGCCCCCGGCUCAACCGGGGAGGGUCAUUGGAAACUGGUUGACUUGAGUGCAGAAGAGGGGAGUGGAAUUCCAUGUGUAGCGGUGAAAUGCGUAGAUAUCGGGAAGAACACCAAUGGCGAAGGCAGUUCUCUGGGCUGUUACUGACGCUGAGAAGCGAAAGCGUGGGGAGCGAACAGG